RNAcentral lists this ribosomal RNA (254 nucleotides) under uncultured bacterium. RNAcentral describes it as "partial 16S ribosomal RNA". It matches the Rfam family "Bacterial small subunit ribosomal RNA", at positions 524 to 776 of the family's 1533-position model. The record is from RNAcentral.
GACAGAGGGUGCAAACGUUGUUCGGAAUUACUGGGCGUAAAGCGCGUGUAGGCUGCUCGGAAAGUCGGAUGUGAAAGCCCUGGGCUCAACCUAGGAAGUGCAUUCGAAACUUCCGAGCUGGAGUACUGGAGAGGAAGGCGGAAUUCUCGGUGUAGAGGUGAAAUUCGUAGAUAUCGAGAGGAACACCGGUGGCGAAGGCGGCCUUCUGGACAGUAACUGACGCUGAGACGCGAAAGCGUGGGGGAGCAAACAGG